AAGUAGUAACAAGGUUUCCGUAGGUGACCUGCGGAGGUCAUUGUCGAUGCCUAAACCAAUCCGACCAGCGAACGCGUCCAAACACCCGAAGCGUCGGGAGAGGGGCGGUCGCAACGGACCUCACCUCUCCAGGCAAAACCCAAACCCCGGCACCAUACGUGCCAAGGAUCCGAAACACAUUCUUGGUCGACUCCGAAGGACGGUGUCCGACGGAAUCGGCACGAAACGAAUCGAAACGACUCUCGGCAACGGAUAUCUCGGCUCUUGCAUCGAUGAAGAACGUAGCGAAAUGCGAUACUUGGUGUGAAUUGCAGAAUCCCGUGAACCAUCGAGUCUUUGAACGCAAGUUGCGCCCGAAGCCACUAGGCCGAGGGCACGCCUGCCUGGGUGUCACACAUCGUCAUCCCCAUGCAAACGCGCAUCGGGGCGAAAGCUGGCCUCCCGCGAGACAACCAUCGUGGUUGGUCGAAAACCAAGGUAAUGUCGGGGUCCCCCCGCGAGAAACGGUGGAUGAGCAAACGCUCGAGACCAAUCGUGGAGACUUGGCAAUCCAAUUGAUCGGCCCUAUUGCGUUCUUGGCAGAAAGCAAAGACGCUCUUAACGAGACCUCAGGUCAGGCGGGGCUACCCGCUGAGUUUAA
This 640-nucleotide ribosomal RNA is filed under the name Vigna angularis (adzuki bean). RNAcentral describes it as "eukaryotic LSU rRNA". The stretch from base 238 to 393 matches the Rfam family "5.8S ribosomal RNA". The record is from RNAcentral. Lineage: Eukaryota; Viridiplantae; Streptophyta; Magnoliopsida; Fabales; Fabaceae.